GUGAAAAACUCAAAUUAUGUGUGAACUCCUCCCUGAUAAUGCAGACUUCAGGGUACAUCUGGUGGAUAUGUGAAUGCACCCCCUCCAUUCCAGAGGAGAUGCAAGUUAAAGGGCUUUAAAAGGCCCAUGUGAAAAACUUCCUGGGAGAGAACGAUGAAAAUACCCAUUUGACAACAAAGCCAGCUGGGAGUGAGGGUGGCCAGAGCUUGGGUGGGGGAAGGGCAGAAGGCAAGUCAGACAGCUCCCAGGGGCUGAGCGGCUUGGAUUGAUUGAAUCCAUCUACCCAAUUAUAGCUCCACCCUGCAUUGCAGGUUCUUUCGCACCAAGGCUUUCUGGAACCAGAGGAUUGUACCAGAAGCUCUAUACCCUCCUUUGGGUUUAACCCUGGUGCUUAUAUUUGCCAGUGUCAAUUCUGGAGGGGGCUGCACAGAAUCCUGAACCGGGCUGCAGCUGGCCCAGACUAUCAUUCAGGAGGACAGCGGCGGGUUUGGAGGAGCUCUCACAACCGCCACUGCCACCACUACCUCUGAUUUCUCUAGCGCUUCCUCGCUGCCUCCACUUAAAGGUAUGGUUCAAAACCGCAUGUUGGCACACUUGGCUGUGUAGUUUCUAUUCUGAUCCAGCAGCCCCUUGCAGCAUAGCAUUAGGAGGUUUUCCAUGCAUUCUCUAUCUGCAAUUUGUCUAAGAAAGGGAGGUAGGUUGAUGACAGCUGAAGAAGACUGUAUUUGCUGAAGAGCAGCAUGAUGGUAGAGAGGAGCGGGGUUCCUGAGGGAGAUCUAAUGGUGCCUCUCCUUCCUGCACAGAGAUAAAGACUUAUAAUAAGCGUGUAUGUUCACCAUCUGGCUCUGUGCAUGUGGUCCUUAUGGAGGCGAAAGCAGCACAAUCUGUAAAUGAUCAGGAGCCAUAGCACUCUCUCCAGAGAAUCCACGAUGCAAUCAAGGUGACAGAUGGCAUGGCCACUGCUGUGGCCUCAUGGAGAAGAUCAAAAUCACCUUCAAUAAACUCUGACUGAAAUGGG
Molecule: long non-coding RNA, 1018 nt
Organism: Hemicordylus capensis (graceful crag lizard)
Lineage: Eukaryota; Metazoa; Chordata; Lepidosauria; Squamata; Cordylidae
Exons: 4
Source: RefSeq, a predicted model, not a curated record